This 862-nucleotide long non-coding RNA is filed under the name Mytilus galloprovincialis (Mediterranean mussel). Lineage: Eukaryota; Metazoa; Mollusca; Bivalvia; Mytilida; Mytilidae. The record is from RNAcentral.
GAAACAAAUUCGAAAGUACAUAUUUUCCUAUAAUCAAAAGAACUGGACUAAACACUAGAAAAUGACGAGGGUUAAGAUAAAUCUAGAAAAAAAAACAUGUUACUGGAGACAUGUAAAUAAACAGUAACAUAACACACUGUGAUAGGGAGAUAUGUUUACUCACUACAAAUCUAAAAUAACCAUUCCAUUACACAUUUCAUCCACAACUAGCACGGCCGACACAGGAGCCACAACAUGAUAAAAUGUGUCCUUACAAAAAGGGUUAUAUUAAUAAAAGUAUAUAGUAUACCAAUAGUGGUACAAGAUCACAUCACACACCUUAAAGAAAGCGCAAAAGAACAGCAUUUUGAUUGCAGUUCCUUUAAAAUAUGGAAGCCACAUCAAGGCUUUAAAAAAAGAAACGCUUCACCUCUUGAGAAAUUCGUGUUAGCGUUAGAAAAGUUUCCCCAUGGAAUUUUAGAUGCAGUUUAACAACAGGUGGGCAAGAUGCAGUAACAAGAAACAAAUUCAUACAUUAAAAAAAGACGAAACAUACUAAAAUUACAUUCAAAGAUCCGGAGAUAAAAGGCCAAUAAUAUGAAAGGGAAAAAACUAAGUACAAUGAAAAGACAAAUAUUAUAAAAUAGAUAUGGUUGAUAAUCAAUGGGAAAAAGUUCAAAUGACGAGGAUUAAAUCAGCUAAAAGUCACUGAUCGGCCUUCAACGAUGAGCAUAACUGUCCGCUAUUAAAUGCCCCGACAUGACAAAAUGUGAAAUAAUUCAGCCCUCAAAAUACUACACACAACAUUUUGAGGAGUUGUCGCUAAGUUAAACAAAUUAGGAAUUCUGGCAUACAACCAGAUAGUAUUUACACUUUACGCCAG